CAGUCGCCACGGUAAUACGAAGGGGGCUAGCGUUGUUCGGAAUUACUGGGCGUAAAGCGCGUGUAGGCGGGUCCUUAAGUCAGGGGUGAAAUGCCAAGGCUCAACCUUGGAACUGCCUUUGAUACUGGGGAUCUUGAGUCCGGGAGAGGUGAGUGGAACUGCGAGUGUAGAGGUGAAAUUCGUAGAUAUUCGCAAGAACACCAGUGGCGAAGGCGGCUCACUGGCCCGGAACUGACGCUGAGACGCGAAAGCGUGGGGAGCAAACAGGAUUAGAUACCCCCGUAGUCCCUGUCUCUUAUAC
Molecule: ribosomal RNA, 301 nt
Filed under: uncultured bacterium
Lineage: Bacteria
Description: partial 16S ribosomal RNA
Rfam family: Bacterial small subunit ribosomal RNA
Source: RNAcentral